GACGUAGGGGGCGAGCGUUAUUCGGAAUUAUUGGGCGUAAAGCGCUCGUAGGCGGAGCAGGAAGUCUGUGAAGAAAGACCUGGGCUCAACUCAGGGAACGGCACGGAUACUCUUGCCCUUGAGGCAAUCAGAGGGUGAUGGAAUUCCCGGUGUAGCGGUGAAAUGCGUAGAUAUCGGAAAGAACACCAAGGGCGAAGGCACUCUGCUGGGCCGAAACUGACACUGAGAGACGAGAGCUAGGGGAGCAAAUGGG
RNAcentral lists this ribosomal RNA (253 nucleotides) under uncultured prokaryote. RNAcentral's name for it is "partial 16S ribosomal RNA". It matches the Rfam family "Bacterial small subunit ribosomal RNA", at positions 524 to 776 of the family's 1533-position model. The record is from RNAcentral.